This 339-nucleotide unclassified non-coding RNA is filed under the name fungal sp. RNAcentral describes it as "partial internal transcribed spacer region". The stretch from base 1 to 46 matches the Rfam family "Eukaryotic small subunit ribosomal RNA", at positions 1786 to 1831 of the family's 1831-position model. The record is from RNAcentral. Lineage: Eukaryota; Fungi.
AAGUCGUAACAAGGUAACCGUAGGUGAACCUGCGGUUGGAUCAUUACAAAAAAUCUUACCACUUUGGGGGUAUUCUUGUUGCGGGGUUUGAUUUGUCCUUUCGGGGAUGUGUCGGCUCCUCUUCAAGGCUCCUAAAACCUUGUGUGCACUCUGUCACUGUUUUUUGGGACGAGGUUCCUUGUCCCAAAUCUUCUCUUUUACACCUUGGUGUUUUAUGAGAGGAACUACAAAGACACCUAUCUAUUCUUUUAACUAUCCAACAACCUUUUCUUGCCAGCUUUAGAGCUGAAGAGAAAAAACAAAAAAAAACAACUUUUGACAACGGAUCUCUUGGCUCUC